CUCGAGGCCAGAUCUUUCCGGUUGAUCCUGCCGGACCUGACUGCUAUCGGAUUGAUACUAAGCCAUGCGAGUCUUUGUAGCAAUACAUGGCAGACGGCUCAGUAACACGUAGUCAAUCUACCCUACGGACGGGGAUAACCUCGGGAAACUGAGAAUAAUACCCGAUAGAUCAUUAUGCCUGGAAUGGUUUAUGGUCGAAAUGAUUUAUCGCCGUAGGAUGGGACUGCGGUCUAUCAGCUUGUUGGUGAGGUAAUGGCCCACCAAGGCUAUAACAGAUACGGGCUCUGAGAGGAGAAGCCCGGAGAUGGGUACUGAGACACGGACCCAGGCCCUAUGGGGCGCAGCAGGCGAGAAAACUUUGCAAUGUGCGAAAGCACGACAAGGUUAAUCCGAGUGUUUUCUGCUAAAGAAAUCUUUUGUCAGUCCUAAAAACACUGAUGAAUAAGGGGUGGGCAAGUUCUGGUGUCAGCCGCCGCGGUAAAACCAGCACCUCAAGUGGUCAGGAGGAUUAUUGGGCCUAAAGCAUCCGUAGCGGGCCGUGUAAGUUUUCGGUUAAA
This 557-nucleotide ribosomal RNA is filed under the name uncultured archaeon. Its description in RNAcentral is "bacterial SSU rRNA". It matches the Rfam family "Archaeal small subunit ribosomal RNA", at positions 1 to 549 of the family's 1478-position model. The record is from RNAcentral.